UUAUGUUGUGGACUAAUAGGCAAGUCAUAAAUUUUUGGUAUUUAUAAUUGAGUGUUCGAAUCGCUCCAACAUAAU
This 75-nucleotide transfer RNA is filed under the name Bacidia sp. RNAcentral describes it as "tRNA-Gln". It matches the Rfam family "tRNA". Rfam says of the family: Transfer RNA (tRNA) molecules are approximately 80 nucleotides in length. Their secondary structure includes four short double-helical elements and three loops (D, anti-codon, and T loops). Lineage: Eukaryota; Fungi; Ascomycota; Lecanoromycetes; Lecanorales; Ramalinaceae. The record is from RNAcentral.